Molecule: ribosomal RNA, 430 nt
Filed under: uncultured Alphaproteobacteria bacterium
Lineage: Bacteria; Pseudomonadati; Pseudomonadota; Alphaproteobacteria
Description: bacterial SSU rRNA
Rfam family: Bacterial small subunit ribosomal RNA
Source: RNAcentral
UCGUGAGAUGUUGGGUUAAGUCCCGCAACGAGCGCAACCCUUGUCCCUAGUUGCUACGCAAGGGCACUCUAGGGAGACUGCCGGUGACAAACCGGAGGAAGGUGGGGAUGACGUCAAGUCCUCAUGGCCCUUAUGGGUAGGGCUUCACACGUCAUACAAUGGCCGGUACAGAGGGUUGCCAAAGCGCGAGCUGGAGCCAAUCCCCGUAAAAGCCGGUCGUAGUCCGGAUUGCAGUCUGCAACUCGACUGCAUGAAGUCGGAAUCGCUAGUAAUCGCGGAUCAGCAUGUCGCGGUGAAUACGUUCCCGGGUCUUGUACACACCGCCCGUCACACCAUGGGAGUGGGUUCUACCAGAAGUAGGUAGGCUAACCGCAAGGGGGCCGCUUACCACGGUAGGAUUCAUGACUGGGGUGAAGUCGUAACAAGGUAA